CUGCAAAACAAUGCAAAACAAGCAUAAUAUCUCUAAAAUCAACUUUUGACUCUCAAUAGACUCAACUAAGUGUUUUACUUGAUUUAAAGUUCAUUCUAAGUCAUAAAGGGUGUGUUUUACUAUCAAAUUUAAGUAUGAAAAUAACGGUUUUUAGAUCGUUAUCAAACGACGGCAACAUAAACCGCAACACGAACCUGUGUUUAUUUCAUAUCUUUAACCAACAUGGACCAAGCUCUCUCUUCUUCUUCCUCCC
This 253-nucleotide long non-coding RNA is filed under the name Vigna radiata. RNAcentral's name for it is "long non-coding RNA (VRAD_LNC008669)". The record is from RNAcentral. Lineage: Eukaryota; Viridiplantae; Streptophyta; Magnoliopsida; Fabales; Fabaceae.